RNAcentral lists this ribosomal RNA (675 nucleotides) under uncultured bacterium. RNAcentral describes it as "bacterial SSU rRNA". It matches the Rfam family "Bacterial small subunit ribosomal RNA", at positions 8 to 693 of the family's 1533-position model. The record is from RNAcentral.
AGAGUUUGAUCCUGGCUCAGGACGAACGCUGGCGGUGUGCUUCACACAUGCAAGUCGAGCGAAUGAAGAAGGUAGCUUGCUACUUUUGGAUUUAGCGGCGGACGGGUGAGUAAUAUAUAGGAAUCUGCCCUAGAGCGGGGAACAACAGACCGAAAGGUUUGCUAAUGCCCCAUAGGUACGCAGUCUUCGGAUUGUUUAUUAAAGGAGUAAUCCACUCUAGGAUGAGCCUGUAUCCGAUUAGCUAGUUGGCGGGGUAAAGGCCCACCAAGGCUACGAUCGGUAGUUGGUCUGAGAGGAUGAUCAGCCACAAUGGGACUGAGACACGACCCAUACUCCUACGGGAGGCAGCAGUGGGGAAUUUUACACAAUGGGGGAAACCCUGAUGUAGCGACACCGCGUGAACGAAGAAGCCUUUUGGGGUGUAAAGUUCUGUCGGCUGGAACGAAAAAAAUGACGGUACCAGCAAAGGAAGCAUCGGCUAACUACGUGCCAGCAGCCGCGGUAAGACGUAGGAUGCAAGCGUUGUCCGGAUUUAUUGGGCGUAAAGAGUUCGUAGGCGGUUAUUUAAGUCUGAUGUUAAAUACUGUGGCCCAACCACAGAACUGCAUUGGAUACUGGAUGACUUGAGUGCGGUAGAGGCAAGUGGAAUUCCCAGUGUAGCGGUGAAAUGCGUAG